AGCAGUCGCCGCGGUAAUACGUAGGGUGCGAGCGUUAAUCGGAAUUACUGGGCGUAAAGCGGGCGCAGAUGGCUACUUAAGCAGGAUGUGAAAUCCCCGGGUUCAACCUGGGAAUUGCGUUCUGAACUGGGUGGCUAGAGUGUGUCAGAGGGGGGUAGAAUUCCACGUGUAGCAGUGAAAUGCGUAGAGAUGUGGAGGAAUACCGGUGGCGAAGGCAGCCCCCUGGGAUAGCACUGACGUUCAUGCCCGAAAGCGUGGGUAGCAAACAGGAUUAGAUACCCCGGUAGUCCCUGUCUCUUAUAA
RNAcentral lists this ribosomal RNA (303 nucleotides) under uncultured bacterium. RNAcentral describes it as "partial 16S ribosomal RNA". It matches the Rfam family "Bacterial small subunit ribosomal RNA", at positions 507 to 809 of the family's 1533-position model. The record is from RNAcentral.